Molecule: ribosomal RNA, 508 nt
Filed under: uncultured bacterium
Lineage: Bacteria
Description: partial 16S ribosomal RNA
Rfam family: Bacterial small subunit ribosomal RNA
Source: RNAcentral
AUUGAACGCUGGCGGCAGGCCUAACACAUGCAAGUCGAGCGGCAGCGGGAAAGUAGCUUGCUACUUUUGCCGGCGAGCGGCGGACGGGUGAGUAAUGCCUGGGGAUCUGCCCAGUCGAGGGGGAUAACUACUGGAAACGGUAGCUAAUACCGCAUACGCCCUACGGGGGAAAGCAGGGGACCUUCGGGCCUUGCGCGAUUGGAUGAACCCAGGUGGGAUUAGCUAGUUGGUGAGGUAAUGGCUCACCAAGGCGACGAUCCCUAGCUGGUCUGAGAGGAUGAUCAGCCACACUGGAACUGAGACACGGUCUAGACUCCUACGGGAGGCAGCAGUGGGGAAUAUUGCACAAUGGGGGAAACCCUGAUGCAGCCAUGCCGCGUGUGUGAGGAAGGCCUUCGGGUUGUAAAGCACUUUCAGCGAGGAGGAAAGGUUGGUAGCUAAUAACUGCCAGCUGUGACGUUACUCGCAGAAGAAGCACCGGCUAACUCCGUGCCAGCCGCCGCUGUAA